AUACGUAGGGUGCGAGCGUUAAUCGGAAUUACUGGGCGUAAAGCGUGCGCAGGCGGUUUUGUAAGACAGGCGUGAAAUCCCCGGGCUCAACCUGGGAAUGGCGCUUGUGACUGCAAGGCUAGAGUGCGUCAGAGGGGGGUAGAAUUCCACGUGUAGCAGUGAAAUGCGUAGAGAUGUGGAGGAAUACCGAUGGCGAAGGCAGCCCCCUGGGACGAGACUGACGCUCAUGCAUGAAAGCGUGGGGAGCAAACAGGAUUAGAUACCCUAGUAGUCC
RNAcentral lists this ribosomal RNA (274 nucleotides) under uncultured bacterium. Its description in RNAcentral is "partial 16S ribosomal RNA". It matches the Rfam family "Bacterial small subunit ribosomal RNA", at positions 523 to 796 of the family's 1533-position model. The record is from RNAcentral.